UGCAGGUGGUCUGCCAGGUGUCCUGGUAACACUCCCAGGGGUCCACCCUUCACCAAACAAACAGAAAAACUCCUCCUCAUCAUCAGCGACCUUCAUCAACUAAUAACGCCAGCCUAUAAGGAAAACACAGCUCUGCACUGAAGCUACCACACAACACUGCAACAACAACGUGAGCAACAAAAACAGAACGAACUGCCACCGACCCCAUGAAACGAUUCAAGGCUCACUCACAGCUUUCCCGUAGGAGUCGUGCACCGGUUCUUGAAAUAUUUUGGCUGUGGUCUCUGCAGCGACUCACGGCCGUAUCAAACUGAACACACAGGCGUCUCCACUGGAGCUCCAAGCUAACAAAAGAAAAAGGUGGAUAAUAUAAUGAGAGAUGGAGGACAGAAGAGCCUACAUCUUCACCGAGUGUAGAAGGAGCCUCGUUUAUCCUCGCAGACUACUCUGUUAUCUAAGAACAUCAUUUAUUCACAGAGAGCUGCUUCCAUGUUUGAACCCACACAUCAAGAAAGAUGUGGAGUCGCAGGCCGAGAGCAGAGACGAUGGCACGACGUUUCUCAGCGUCUUCAGGAUCAAAGAUCAUUAACUUCCUUUUGUUUAAUCAAUGAGGAUAAAACCUUUAGAAAGCUCAACAGUAAAGACUCAUCGCUUUCUAUCCGGCUGUAUUUGCUCCACACUGUCAAAAGCUUACAUUUGUAUUUGUAUCUGAUUAAAAUAAAGGCGUGGGAACCACGUUAGAGUUUAUGUGACCCUCUGAUCCAGAACUCGUCGCCUGUGCCAUCAGGGGGUGACAGCUGUUAAUGAAGAAUCAGCCUCAACAAGCAAACUGUGAGCGGAUGAAAAAGAAGCUCUGACCACAUGAAGGCAGAAAACUUCAGAUUAAAGAGUUUCAGAGUUCAGACAUUCAGCGGGAGGAAGAACAACAAGCAGGACGUGGAGAAGAGUUCAGCAAGAAAACAGGAAGUCCACGAAACAAGGAGAGAGAAGCAAAGCCAGGC
Molecule: long non-coding RNA, 1001 nt
Organism: Pundamilia nyererei
Lineage: Eukaryota; Metazoa; Chordata; Actinopteri; Cichliformes; Cichlidae
Exons: 3
Source: RefSeq, a predicted model, not a curated record